GCCCCUGUGGCGGAAUUGGUAGACGCAGCAGACUCAAAAUCUGCCGUCCUCGCGGACGUGGGAGUUCGAGUCUCCCCGGGGGCACCA
This 87-nucleotide transfer RNA is filed under the name Holosporales bacterium. RNAcentral describes it as "tRNA-Leu". It matches the Rfam family "tRNA". From Rfam's summary of the family: Transfer RNA (tRNA) molecules are approximately 80 nucleotides in length. Their secondary structure includes four short double-helical elements and three loops (D, anti-codon, and T loops). The record is from RNAcentral. Lineage: Bacteria; Pseudomonadati; Pseudomonadota; Alphaproteobacteria; Holosporales.